GAGGGUAUAGCUCAGUGGUACAGCACAUGCUUAGCAUGCAUUAGGUCCUGGGUUCAAUUCCCAGUACCUCCA
RNAcentral lists this transfer RNA (72 nucleotides) under Camelus bactrianus (Bactrian camel). It matches the Rfam family "tRNA". From Rfam's summary of the family: Transfer RNA (tRNA) molecules are approximately 80 nucleotides in length. The record is from Rfam by way of RNAcentral. RNAcentral also lists the same sequence under 2 other names. Lineage: Eukaryota; Metazoa; Chordata; Mammalia; Artiodactyla; Camelidae.